Molecule: ribosomal RNA, 1094 nt
Filed under: Rhodella violacea
Lineage: Eukaryota; Rhodophyta; Rhodellophyceae; Rhodellales; Rhodellaceae
Description: partial Bacterial large subunit ribosomal RNA
Rfam family: Bacterial large subunit ribosomal RNA
Source: RNAcentral
AAGUAAAGAAGGGCACACGGGGGAUGCCUUGGCUCUCAGAGGCGAUGAAGGACGUGAUAAGCUGCGAUAAGGCCAGGGGAUGGGCACAUACCAAGUGAUCCUGGCAUUUCCGAAUGGGGCAACCCCACUACGUGAAGCGUAGUGACCAUCCGUUUAACGGAAUGGGGCAAACCCGGGGAACUGAAACAUCUAAGUACCCGGAGGAAAGGACAUCAACGAGACUCCGUCAGUAGUGGCGAGCGAACGCGGAUCAGGCCAGUGCCUGUGUGGAGUUUAUCGGAACGGUCUGGAAUGGCCGGCAAGAGUGGGUGACAGCCCCGUACGAGACGGACGACAUACAGGACUCGAGUAGGGCGGGACACGUGAAAUCCUGUCUGAACAUGGGGGGACCACCCUCCAAGCCUAAGUACUCCUCAGCGACCGAUAGCGAACAAGUACCGUGAGGGAAAGGUGAAAAGCACCCCGACGAGGGGAGUGAAACAGUUCCUGAAACCGGAUGCUUACAAACAGUGGGAGCUCAAGGUUCGUCCUGGGUGACCGCGUACCUUUUGUAUAAUGGGUCAGCGACUUAAAGUUACGAGCAAGCUUAAGCCGGUAGGUGUAGGCGCAGCGAAAGCGAGUCUGAACAGGGCGUUCAGUUCGUGGCUUUAGACCCGAAACCGAGUGAUCUAGCCAUGUGCAGGAUGAAGGUGGGGUAACACCCACUGGAGGUCCGAACCAGUGCCCGUUGAAAAGGUCUUGGAUGACGUGUGGCUAGGGGUGAAAGGCCAAUCAAACUCGGAAAUAGCUGGUUCUCCGCGAAAGCUAUUUAGGUAGCGCCUCGCGUGAAUACCCCAGGGGGUAGAGCACUGGAUGGGCUAGGGCCGCCCACAGCGGUACCGCACUCAACCAAACUCCGAAUACCUGGGAGUACUGCGCGGGAGACACACGGCGGGUGCUAACGUCCGUCGUGAAGAGGGAAACAACCCUGACCUACAGCUAAGGCCCCCAAUUCGUGGCUAAGUGGGAAAGGAUGUGGGAAUCCCAAAACAACCAGGAGGUUGGCUUAGAAGCAGCCACCCUUUAAAGAGUGCGUAAUAGCUCACUGGUCAAGU